GCUGGGUGCAAUGGUGCACACCUGUAAUCCCAGCGGCUUAGGAGGCUGAGGCAGGAGGAUCGCGAGUUCAAAGCCAGCCUCAGCAACUCAGUGAGGCUCUAAGCAACUCAGUGAGACCCUGUCUCUA
RNAcentral lists this small RNA (127 nucleotides) under Marmota monax (woodchuck). The record is from RNAcentral. Lineage: Eukaryota; Metazoa; Chordata; Mammalia; Rodentia; Sciuridae.